GACAGAGGGUGCAAACGUUGUUCGGAAUUACUGGGCGUAAAGCGUGUGUAGGCGGUCUCAUAAGUCGGAUGUGAAAGCCCCGGGCUCAACCCGGGAAGUGCAUUCGAAACUUCUGAGCUUGAGUUCUGGAGAGGAAGGCGGAAUUCUCGGUGUAGAGGUGAAAUUCGUAGAUAUCGAGAGGAACACCGGUGGCGAAGGCGGCCUUCUGGACAGUGACUGACGCUGAGACGCGAAAGCGUGGGGAGCAAACAGG
RNAcentral lists this ribosomal RNA (253 nucleotides) under uncultured bacterium. RNAcentral describes it as "partial 16S ribosomal RNA". It matches the Rfam family "Bacterial small subunit ribosomal RNA", at positions 524 to 776 of the family's 1533-position model. The record is from RNAcentral.